RNAcentral lists this ribosomal RNA (464 nucleotides) under uncultured bacterium. Its description in RNAcentral is "partial 16S ribosomal RNA". It matches the Rfam family "Bacterial small subunit ribosomal RNA", at positions 28 to 507 of the family's 1533-position model. The record is from RNAcentral.
GACGAACGCUGGCGGCGUGCUUAACACAUGCAAGUCGAACGGUAAGGCCCCUUCGGGGGUACACGAGUGGCGAACGGGUGAGUAACACGUGGGUGAUCUGCCCUGCACUUCGGGAUAAGCCUGGGAAACUGGGUCUAAUACCGGAUAGGACCACGCUCUGCAUGGAGUGUGGUGGAAAGCUUUUGCGGUGUGGGAUGGGCCCGCGGCCUAUCAGCUUGUUGGUGGGGUGAUGGCCUACCAAGGCGACGACGGGUAGCCGGCCUGAGAGGGUGUCCGGCCACCCGGGGACUGAGAUACGGCCCAGACUCCUACGGGAGGCAGCAGUGGGGAAUAUUGCACAAUGGGCGCAAGCCUGAUGCAGCGACGCCGCGUGGGGGAUGACGGCCUUCGGGUUGUAAACCUCUUUCAGUACCGACGAAGCGCAAGUGACGGUAGGUACAGAAGAAGCACCGGCCAACUACGUG